UCCUCCAAUGCAGCCUGCUCUUCCAGCUCUCCCUCCUAUCCCUGCUACAGAGGUUGUUAUUUCGAACCCUGAAUUACCUCAAGGGGCUUCCAAGCAAUGGCAUCCGGUUACCUCCACGCCUCUCACUACUGAUUUAGUUCCUGCAGCAGCAAAGAUGAAAAACACUCAGACUUUUCCAGUGGAUACUCAACAGCAGAAGAGGCCGAAGAUUCCACGGCCAAUGCCACAUGGGGGUUCCAGUAAAAAAACCAAAAGAUACACACCAUAUGAACUCAAAGUUCCAUACUCAACAGAUCUUGAUGAGUCCCUUCUUCUUGAUACUCCGGUUGUGGAGGCAGAUAUCCCUGAUCCUUGGGCUUUGGCGGCUGGCCCUCAACAGCCACCGUGUUCCAAAUGAAGCUCCUCAGUUGGAAUUGUCAGGGGUUGGGCAAUCCCCUGACAAUUCAA
This 447-nucleotide long non-coding RNA is filed under the name Eucalyptus grandis. RNAcentral's name for it is "long non-coding RNA (EGRA_LNC003614)". The record is from RNAcentral. Lineage: Eukaryota; Viridiplantae; Streptophyta; Magnoliopsida; Myrtales; Myrtaceae.